GAUGAACGCUGGCGGCGUGCCUAAUACAUGCAAGUCGAGCGAACAGAUGAGGAGCUUGCUCCUCUGACGUUAGCGGCGGACGGGUGAGUAACACGUGGAUAACCUACCUAUAAGACUGGGAUAACUUCGGGAAACCGGAGCUAAUACCGGAUAAUAUAUUGAACCGCAUGGUUCAAUAGUGAAAGACGGUUUUGCUGUCACUUAUAGAUGGAUCCGCGCCGCAUUAGCUAGUUGGUAAGGUAACGGCUUACCAAGGCAACGAUGCGUAGCCGACCUGAGAGGGUGAUCGGCCACACUGGAACUGAGACACGGUCCAGACUCCUACGGGAGGCAGCAGUAGGGAAUCUUCCGCAAUGGGCGAAAGCCUGACGGAGCAACGCCGCGUGAGUGAUGAAGGUCUUCGGAUCGUAAAACUCUGUUAUUAGGGAAGAACAAAUGUGUAAGUAACUAUGCACGUCUUGACGGUACCUAAUCAGAAAGCCACGGCUAACAACGU
RNAcentral lists this ribosomal RNA (496 nucleotides) under uncultured bacterium. Its description in RNAcentral is "partial 16S ribosomal RNA". It matches the Rfam family "Bacterial small subunit ribosomal RNA", at positions 28 to 506 of the family's 1533-position model. The record is from RNAcentral.